CUGCCUUUGCGCGAGUCACGUUUGCUGAAGUCACGUGGCCGAGCUCCGACUCCAUGUGAGAGGGGACCACACAAGGAGAGGGUCCAGGGAGAGAGAAUUCGUUAGAGACCGUUAUGGAACAAUCAGCCACGGAGAUCAGCCUGCUCAGCCUGGGCUCCAUUGUCAGAAGGGACCCUCCCCGUUGAAGGUCCCCUAAGAGACUGGCUUCUUGGCCAAAUAUACAUCCGAGCCGGGGACCCGAUGAAAACAGUGAUGGCGGGACCAGGUUUCUCUUUGACUCGAGGGACAGGAACCCCAACUCACACUGGCCUAAGCAAAAAGUACAACUUAUGGGGCGCCUGGGUGGCUCAGUCGGUUGAGCAUCCAACUUCGGCUCAGGUCAUGAUCUCUUGUUUCGUGAUUUUGAGCCUUGCGUUGGGCUCUGUGCUGACAGCUCAGAGCUUGGAGCCUGCUUCAGAUUCUGUGCCUCCCUCUCUCUCUGCCCCUCCCGCACUCACACUCUGACUCUCUCUCUCAAAAAUAAAUAAACAUUAAAAAAAAUUUUUUUUAAGUACAACUUAUUGGUUCAAGGAACCGAAAACACCAAGAGCAGAGCUGGGCAUAUCCGGUGGGAUCCAGGGGCUCGAGCAAUGUCAUGGGACUUGGUCUUGCUCUCUUUGUGUCCUGCUCUGCUUUUCACCUUGCUGGGCUCUCAGGCCCUCUUUCCUCAUGGUGACAAGAUGGCUGCCAGCAACACCAGAUAUAUUCCCCACCUCUCAGCAACUCCGGCAGAAAGUGAGUGUCUUUUUUUUGUCAAGUUUCAACUGUAGCCCCAGAACUAAGUUUCACUGGCUCUGAUCGAGCCAAUGCCCAUCCCAGAACCAAUCUCUGGAGCUGAGGAGAUGGGAUAUCUGGAUUGGUCAGGCCUGGAUCACAUGUCCUUCCUUGGAACCCAUGUGUGUGAAGUCAGCUCCAUUAGUAUCCAGGCUCUGAGAGGUGGAUUGUGGUUUCAGCGGGAGCGUCAGGGCAGUGGGCCACAAGAAUAGCGUAAACUAUGUGCUGCCCGAAACAACCCUGAUGUGUUUGUGGCUAACAAGAAAAUUGUAUUUCUUGCUCCCGUUGGUGGCAGAGGUGGGGCUCCACUUCAUGUGGUCGUUCAGGGACCCAGGCUGGUGGAGGCUCUGUCCUCUUGAAUCCACAGCUUCCAAGGACACCCUGGGUGAUGGCAUCCAGCCAGAAGGCAGGAAAAUAAGGCAAAGAUGGGAAACCAAGGCUCCAGAAGCUUUCAGAAACCUGCCCAAAGUUUUACGGACAUCAAAAGGCAGCCCUGGGACUGGUAUUCGGGUGUGUCUGACGCCCGAGGCCAGGUUUAACUGCCUGUGUGUUAAAUCAGAGUCUGCAGCUAUCGGGAUGGUCUUCCUGCUGCCCAGCCAGCAUGCCUGGAGGGUGGCUGGUCACCACCAGGAGCUGGUAUGGUGAGUGCCAGUCCUGUGCUGGGUGCUGGUCUAGUCCACAGAGCAGAUCUAGUCCUGAGGCUUUGGAGCUUGGAGCACACUCCAUGGACGGAGGCUUCAGUUUCCUCCACUGGUCCCAUCUCAGACUGCUGAUUUCCCCCCCAAGAAUAGCCAUCCAUCUGAACAGGG
Felis catus (domestic cat) is the source of this 1622-nucleotide long non-coding RNA. RefSeq lists it as uncharacterized. Lineage: Eukaryota; Metazoa; Chordata; Mammalia; Carnivora; Felidae. The transcript is spliced from 4 exons. The record is from RefSeq and is a predicted model, not a curated record.